AGCGAACGCUGGCGGCAGGCCUAACACAUGCAAGUCGAACGAACCUUUCGGGGUUAUUGGCGGACGGGUGAGUAACACGUGGGAACGUUCCUUUAGGGUCGGAAUAACUCAGGGAAACGUGUGCUAAUACCGAAUGUGCCCUUCUGGGGAAAGAUUAAUCGCCUUUAGAGCGGCACGCGUCUGAUUAGCUAUUUGGUUGAGGUAAUGGCGCACCAAGGCGACGAUCAGUAGCUGGUCUGAGAGGCUGAUCCGCCACAUUGGGACUGAGACACGGCCCAAACUCCUACGCGAGGCAGCAGUGGGGAAUCUUGCGCCAUGGGCGAAAGGCUGACGCAGCCCUGACGCGUGAAUGAUGAAGGUCUUAGGGUUGUAAAAUUCUUUCACCGGGGCCGAUAAUGACGGUACCCGGAGAAGAAGCCCCGGCUAACUUCGUG
RNAcentral lists this ribosomal RNA (434 nucleotides) under uncultured bacterium. Its description in RNAcentral is "partial 16S ribosomal RNA". It matches the Rfam family "Bacterial small subunit ribosomal RNA", at positions 29 to 507 of the family's 1533-position model. The record is from RNAcentral.